GACGGAGGAUGCAAGUGUUAUCCGGAAUCACUGGGCGUAAAGCGCACGUAGGCGGAUCUUUAAGUCAGGGGUGAAAUCCCAAGGCUCAACCUUGGAACUGCCUUUGAUACUGGGGAUCUCGAGUCCGGAAGAGGUGAGUGGAACUGCGAGUGUAGAGGUGAAAUUCGUAGAUAUUCGCAAGAACACCAGUGGCGAAGGCGGCUCACUGGUCCGGAACUGACGCUGAGGUGCGAAAGCGUGGGGAGCAAACAGG
This 253-nucleotide ribosomal RNA is filed under the name uncultured bacterium. RNAcentral's name for it is "partial 16S ribosomal RNA". It matches the Rfam family "Bacterial small subunit ribosomal RNA", at positions 524 to 776 of the family's 1533-position model. The record is from RNAcentral.